Molecule: ribosomal RNA, 442 nt
Filed under: uncultured bacterium
Lineage: Bacteria
Description: partial 16S ribosomal RNA
Rfam family: Bacterial small subunit ribosomal RNA
Source: RNAcentral
CCUACGGGGGGCAGCAGUAGGGAAUCUUUCACAAUGGGCGAAAGCCUGAUGGAGCAACGCCGCGUGCAGGAUGAAGGCCUUCGGGUUGUAAACUGCUUUUAUAAGCGAGAAAUAUGAUGGUAACUUAUGAAUAAGGAUCGGCUAACUACGUGCCAGCAGCCGCGGUCAUACGUAGGAUCCGAGCAUUAUCCGGAGUGACUGGGUGUAAAGAGUUGCGUAGGUGGCAUAAUAAGUAGCUAGUGAAAUCUGGUGGCUCAACCAUUCAGACUAUUAGCUAAACUGUUAAGCUCGAGACCGUUAGAGGUAACUGGAAUGUCUAGUGUAGGAGUGAAAUCCGUAGAUAUUAGAAGGAACACCAAUAGCGUAGGCAGGUUGCUGGGACGGUUCUGACACUAAGGCACGAAAGCGUAGGGAGCAAACGGGAUUAGAUACCCGAGUAGUC